AACAUGUCUUCUUGAAGAUAUAAGAAGUCUGACCUGCCCAGUGAAAAUGUUUAAACGGCCGCGGUACAUUGACCGUGCAAAGGUAGCAUAAUCAUUAGUCUUUUAAUAGGGGACUGGAAUGAAGGGUUCUACGAAAUACUAACUGUCUCAAAUUGAUAUAUUUUAAUUUGAUUUUUAAGUCAAAAAGCUUAAAUUUUAUUGAAGGACGAGAAGACCCUAUAGAGCUUAAUAGUUAAUAUUAAUAUUUAUUUAUUUUUAUUAUGUAAAUAUUAACUUUUUUGUUGGGGUGACAAUAAAUAUAUGAACAACUUUUUUAUUUAUAAUACAUUUAUUUAUGGUUAUUAGAUCCAUUAAUACUGAUUAUUAGAAUAAGUUACCUUAGGGAUAACAGCGUAAUCUUCCUUCAGAGUUCAUAUUUAUAGGGAGGGUUGCGACCUCGAUGUUGGAUUAAGAUUAUAGUUAGGUGUAGCAGCUUAAUGUAUAGGUCUGUUCGACCUUUAAAUUCUUACAUG
Molecule: ribosomal RNA, 512 nt
Filed under: Hetaerina fuscoguttata
Lineage: Eukaryota; Metazoa; Arthropoda; Insecta; Odonata; Calopterygidae
Description: partial 16S ribosomal RNA
Rfam family: Bacterial large subunit ribosomal RNA
Source: RNAcentral